This 228-nucleotide ribosomal RNA is filed under the name uncultured archaeon. RNAcentral's name for it is "partial 16S ribosomal RNA". It matches the Rfam family "Archaeal small subunit ribosomal RNA", at positions 474 to 727 of the family's 1478-position model. The record is from RNAcentral.
AACCAGCACCUCAAGUGGUCAGGAUGAUUAUUGGGCCUAAAGCAUCCGUAGCCGGUUCUGUAAGUUUUCGGUUUGCCGAAAAUACUGCAGAACUAGGGAGUGGGAGAGGUAGACGGUACUCGGUAGGAAGGGGUAAAAUCCUUUGAUCUAUUGAUGACCACCUGUGGCGAAGGCGGUCUACCAGAACACGUUCGACGGUGAGGGAUGAAAGCUGGGGGAGCAAACCGG